ACUAACAGACACACAGUCCUGGGGGGGCCUGAUCACUGUCAGAUUUUGGAAGCUAAGCAGGGCUGGGCCUGGUUAGUAUUUAGAUGGGAAACUGCCUUGGAAGACCAGGGGCUCUUAGAC
This 120-nucleotide ribosomal RNA is filed under the name Mastacembelus armatus (zig-zag eel). Lineage: Eukaryota; Metazoa; Chordata; Actinopteri; Synbranchiformes; Mastacembelidae. The record is from RNAcentral.